Molecule: ribosomal RNA, 43 nt
Filed under: Mammomonogamus ierei
Lineage: Eukaryota; Metazoa; Nematoda; Chromadorea; Rhabditida; Syngamidae
Description: partial 5.8S ribosomal RNA
Source: RNAcentral
AUACACGCACACACACACACACACACACACACACACUCACGAC